RNAcentral lists this long non-coding RNA (1518 nucleotides) under Mus musculus (house mouse). RNAcentral's name for it is "long non-coding RNA chr15:102074451-102075969". The record is from RNAcentral. Lineage: Eukaryota; Metazoa; Chordata; Mammalia; Rodentia; Muridae.
GCGCGUGCGCGGCACGGGCGACGAGGCGAGGUGGUGGAGAAGGCGCGCCUCAGAAACACGCGCUGCUGGACUCCAGAUGGGAAGCCUGGAUGGACCUGGCUUUUGCUCGUUUAUGACCUUGUACUUUAAGCUUUAGUCGGUUUGGGAGCGUGGCACGGCCGCUGUACUCCCAAGCGAACGCAUAUUAGGUUUGGCCCCACUAUAGUUGGGGGUAGGGAACCCAGGGUGCUCCCACGUGUUAGGUGCUGUAGGGAUAGACACCUAGAUUUCUCCUGUGCCUUUUUCUUUCCACCUCUUGAUUCAACCAACAGUUUUUAUUGAGUGCACACUAUAUGCCAGGCAGAGGUGGGGAAGGAAAUCGGGGCGUUGCAUUAUAUAGAACUUCCAUUUUUUGGGUAGUUUUAGUGUCAGGAUUCAGCUUUUGUCAUUUUCCCAGAUAACUGGGAAACUUCCAGAAGGUGCUAUUAAAAUAGUGGCUAGAGGUUCUGCGUGCGUUUGUUUGUUUGGUGGAAUGUAUAUUCCCUGCAUUGCAAGUGAGGUUUGUGGAGGUCGUUUCGGGUUUUGUUUUUUUGUUUUGUUUUGUUUUCCAAGUUUUUUGCUUUUUGGGUUUUUUUGGCAUUUGCAGUGGACCUGUGAAUACCAGAGGGCUUUUAGACACCCAGCAUUAGUUUUCGUUUUAGUUUAUUUUUUAUAGCAUAAUCUGUUAAAAAUACCUUUUGGAUUGCUGUGCCUAAACUGUGCGACAAGGUCUCUCAUUUAGCUCUUGACUAUCUGACCAGGCUUGCCUUGGGGUUGUUGGGAUUAAAGGUGUUUAGCAACACGCCUGGCAACAUUCAGUGUCUUAACCAGAAGUCCAUCUUUUCUAAUAUUACAAGGAAAUCGGGUUCUGUCUUUGGAAAACUUUCUCACUGAAUCUACUGCCUUCGGCCAUGAGAACUUCCUUUCCUCCCCUGCAUUGCUGGACAUUGAACAGAGUUUUUGGCCGUGCCAGGCAAGCACUCCAAGCUAAAUCCCCAACCCUGGGUAACAGCUUUUGUUAGUAGAGCACUUAAUUGAACAAGCCUGUGAGAGCAUGUAAAGAACUGGUGGUUUCUCCAGCUGAGGAAAAAUUGCUCAAAGAUUUGUCGAGGGUCACGUUGUUUGCAGGUAGCAGAUCAGACAGAGUCACAGUCCUGGAAACACCAGGUUCCUAGCUGGGCUCAUUAAGAUUGUAAGUACAAGAACGAAGUUGGAAUUGAUGGCUAAAAGGAUCGUCUACAAAUUACAAAAACGUAUUUUAAUCAGUGAAAAAUACUCCUUGGCUUAAAGUUUAGUGUCUUAACUAAAUGAGAAAUCUAGAUGAAUUUCCUCUUGGGAGAUUCUUAGUGGUGAACGACAUAGCUGGACUGGGGAGAUGGUUUGGGGCACUUGGUGCCAAUGCUGUCAACUUGAGUUUGAAGAAUCCUUGUAGUAGAGGUGGGAGCAGACUCCUGCAGGUUGUCCUUUAACCUGUGUGCAAUCAAAAAAUAGUCAAAAGUU